GGACUACACGGGUAUCUAAUCCUGUUCGCUCCCCACGCUUUCGCGCCUCAGCGUCAGUAUGAUGCCAGGUGGCUGCCUUCGCCAUUGACGUUCCUUCCGAUCUCUACGCAUUUCACCGCUACACCGGAAAUUCCACCACCCUCUCAUCUACUCCAGUUAGAUAGUUUGCGAUGCACUUCCCAGGUUAAGCCCGGGGCUUUCACAUCACACACAUCUUACCGCCUACGCGCCCUUUACGCCCAGUAACUCCGAUUAACGCUCGCACCCUCUGUAUUACCGCGGCUGCUGGCAC
RNAcentral lists this ribosomal RNA (292 nucleotides) under uncultured bacterium. RNAcentral describes it as "partial 16S ribosomal RNA". The record is from RNAcentral.